UACGUAGGGUGCGAGCGUUAAUCGGAAUUACUGGGCGUAAAGCGUGCGCAGGCGGUUUUGUAAGCCAGAUGUGAAAUCCCCGGGCUUAACCUGGGAAUGGCAUUUGGGACUGCAAGGCUGGAGUGCGGCAGAGGAGACUGGAAUUCCUGGUGUAGCAGUGAAAUGCGUAGAUAUCAGGAGGAAUACCGAUGGCGAAGGCAGGUCUCUGGGACUGACACUGACGCUCAUGCACGAAAGCGUGGGGAGCAAACAGG
Molecule: ribosomal RNA, 254 nt
Filed under: uncultured bacterium
Lineage: Bacteria
Description: partial 16S ribosomal RNA
Rfam family: Bacterial small subunit ribosomal RNA
Source: RNAcentral